GGUUCUAUAGUGUAGCGGUCAUCACAUCGGAUUCUGAUCUCCUUCAGAAGCGAUUUCCGGGAACCCCGGUUCGAUUCCGGGUAGGACCU
RNAcentral lists this transfer RNA (89 nucleotides) under Westerdykella ornata. It matches the Rfam family "tRNA". From Rfam's summary of the family: Transfer RNA (tRNA) molecules are approximately 80 nucleotides in length. Their secondary structure includes four short double-helical elements and three loops (D, anti-codon, and T loops). Lineage: Eukaryota; Fungi; Ascomycota; Dothideomycetes; Pleosporales; Sporormiaceae. The record is from Rfam by way of RNAcentral.